RNAcentral lists this transfer RNA (71 nucleotides) under Desmophyllum pertusum. RNAcentral's name for it is "Lophelia pertusa tRNA". It matches the Rfam family "tRNA". From Rfam's summary of the family: Transfer RNA (tRNA) molecules are approximately 80 nucleotides in length. The record is from Rfam by way of RNAcentral. Lineage: Eukaryota; Metazoa; Cnidaria; Anthozoa; Scleractinia; Caryophylliidae.
GGCUUCAGCUCAGUGAUAGAGCAUUUGCACCAGAAUCGCAAAGUUCAUGGGUUUGAAUCCCGUUGGAGCCU